RNAcentral lists this ribosomal RNA (453 nucleotides) under uncultured bacterium. Its description in RNAcentral is "bacterial SSU rRNA". It matches the Rfam family "Bacterial small subunit ribosomal RNA", at positions 28 to 526 of the family's 1533-position model. The record is from RNAcentral.
GAUGAACGCUGGCGGCGUGCUUAACACAUGCAAGUCGAACGAACCUUCGGGUUAGUGGCGGACGGGUGAGUAACGCGUGAGAAUCUGCCCUCAGGAGGGGGAUAACGGCUGGAAACGGCCGCUAAUACCCCAUAUGCCGAGAGGUGAAAUGAAUUUCGCCUGAGGAUGAGCUCGCGUCUGAUUAGCUUGUUGGUGGGGUAAUGGCCUACCAAGGCGACGAUCAGUAGCUGGUCUGAGAGGAUGAUCAGCCACACUGGGACUGAGACACGGCCCAGACUCCUACGGGAGGCAGCAGUGGGGAAUUUUCCGCAAUGGGCGAAAGCCUGACGGAGCAACGCCGCGUGAGGGAUGAAGGCCUCUGGGCUGUAAACCUCUUUUCUCAAGGAAGAAGAUCUGACGGUACUUGAGGAAUAAGCCACGGCUAAUUCCGUGCCAGCCGCCGCCGAGUAACAC